UCCAAAACUAUCCCAUCAAAUUACAAAUAAACUUGCAUUUGCUGAAUUGAAAAGAGAAGAGAGAAUGGAGCGGCGAGAAAGAGGAAAAGGGAGAGAGGGUUGAUCGCACAAGAUGAGAGGGACAAAAAAAGAGAGAGAGAAGGGGAAGAAAAUUGAGGAAACAUGGAGGUCGGGUGAAAAGAGGGUGAUAAAUCGAUUCACGAGCAAUUAAGAGAGAGGAAACUGCAUCAGUAUACAGCACGAAGGAGACGGCUCAAAUGGGGACUGCUAUUGCAGGCAAACACCAGGCAAAAACAGGAGGUGGCAUCGACGGGGAUUGUGAUUGGGGCUAAAUCCUUGAAUUUAGUACGAUAUCGCACCACAGUUGAGGUUUUCUUUUCAGGUUAGGGAACACGAAUAGUAGCAGCCAGAUGAGAUGUGAGGAGAGUUCCUUAACUUUGGAUAGAGUUGAGGUGGUAGAUAUUGAUGUAAGUUUUGUUUUAAUUUUUUUAGUUUAAAAUUGUCUCAUGUAAUAUGAUUUCACUUCUGAUUUCAUUUCAAGGGAUGUUUAUUCUAUGUAGUUCCGCUACAUUUAAUAAUGUCUUCUUGGUCACUUUGUUGUGAUAUGAACGGCUGACAUCCUGUCCUCUGGAAUUAGGGACGAGACGUCACACCAUAUGUUAAUGAUGAAAUUAUUGAGAUAUAUGAAAGUAAAGUUUCUGAUGUAUAGAA
Molecule: long non-coding RNA, 711 nt
Organism: Carica papaya (papaya)
Lineage: Eukaryota; Viridiplantae; Streptophyta; Magnoliopsida; Brassicales; Caricaceae
Source: RefSeq, a predicted model, not a curated record